Molecule: ribosomal RNA, 106 nt
Filed under: Salamandra salamandra gallaica (Portugese fire salamander)
Lineage: Eukaryota; Metazoa; Chordata; Amphibia; Caudata; Salamandridae
Description: partial 16S ribosomal RNA
Source: RNAcentral
GUUAUAAUUCUAGCCACCUAAUAUACCCAACAAUUCUAUUAACCAUUAAAAUAAAUCAUUUAAUUAUGGAAGUAUAGGCGAUAGAAACCAUCAUUUGAGCAAUAGA